RNAcentral lists this unclassified non-coding RNA (379 nucleotides) under uncultured Gemmatimonadaceae bacterium. Its description in RNAcentral is "contains 16S-23S intergenic spacer region". Lineage: Bacteria; Pseudomonadati; Gemmatimonadota; Gemmatimonadia; Gemmatimonadales; Gemmatimonadaceae. The record is from RNAcentral.
UCCGGCUUAACGCCGGCAGUCCCCCCAGAGUCCCCGGCCGAACCGCUGGUAACUAGGGACAAGGGUUGCGCUCGUUGCGGGACUUAACCCAACAUCUCACGACACGAGCUGACGACAGCCAUGCAGCACCUGUGCACGGACUCCGAAGAGGGGCCGAUGUUUCCACCGGCUUUCCCGUGCAUGUCAAGCCCAGGUAAGGUUCUUCGCGUUGCUUCGAAUUGAACCACAUGCUCCACCGCUUGUGCGGGCCCCCGUCAAUUCCUUUGAGUUUCAGCCUUGCGGCCGUACUCCCCAGGCGGGGCACUUAUUGCGUUAGCGACGGCACCGAAGGGGUCGCUCCUCCCGGCGCCUAGUGCCCAUCGUUUACGGCGUGGACUAC